UCGUCCUACGGGGCGCAGCAGUGAGGAAUAUUGGUCAAUGGCCGAGAGGCUGAACCAGCCAAGUCGCGUGAGGGAAGACGGCCCUACGGGUUGUAAACCUCUUUUGUCAGGGAGCAAAGGGCGCCACGUGUGGCGUUUUGCGAGUACCUGAAGAAAAAGCAUCGGCUAACUCCGUGCCAGCAGCCGCGGUAAUACGGAGGAUGCGCGCGUUAUCCGGAUUUAUUGGGUUUAAAGGGUGCGCAGGCGGAAUGUCAAGUCAGCGGUAAAAUUUCGGGGCUCAACCCCGUCGUGCCGUUUAAACUGGG
This 305-nucleotide ribosomal RNA is filed under the name uncultured bacterium. RNAcentral's name for it is "bacterial SSU rRNA". It matches the Rfam family "Bacterial small subunit ribosomal RNA", at positions 334 to 637 of the family's 1533-position model. The record is from RNAcentral.